GCUCUUUACAAUGAACUCACCAAAAAAUAAAUUAAAAAAAAAAAAAUAAUAAUAAUAAUAAUAAAUUGAUGUCAAUCAACUCGUAUGUAUGCAAAGGGAAGCAAGAUAAAGUCCUCUCUCCUUUGACUGCAUGUGUUGGUACCUAAUAUUGAAAAUGGUGUAUAUACAACAAACAAAUUUUUAACGUCUUAUUUCUUUAAUCCUAUCACAUAUAGUAUAGUCCAACUUAUCAAACAACCGGUAAACCUAAUCGUCUCGAUUCUAAUACCAUCCUUCUCCAUCCACCCUACCCAUUGGCAUCCCUGAUCCCCCUUAUUUAGUGCACCUUUGUCUUGGCGAUUUCUUUGGUGUUUCACACUGCCACUGAAGCUACGGGAGCCUGCCUUUGUCCAAGUAGAUUUCUCAAUGCAUUGUCAAUCUGGGUAAAUACGUCAUCCUUGGAAAGACUUCCAUCAACCUGCAACCGUAGAAUAAUAAGGCUCUUGUAAAGUAAACGAGUGAGGAAGAUGCAAUUUAGCUCCUAGUAAAAGUGAUUUGCAUUUAGGUAUCAACUUUCCGAGAAACAAAUAAACUCAAGUUGCUUCCGAAGAAUAGAAC
This 597-nucleotide long non-coding RNA is filed under the name Olea europaea subsp. europaea. The record is from RNAcentral. Lineage: Eukaryota; Viridiplantae; Streptophyta; Magnoliopsida; Lamiales; Oleaceae.